CGCAAGCCUGACGGAGCCAGACCGCGUGGGGGAGGAAGGCCCUUGGGUUGUAAACCCCUUUUCUCAGGGAAGAAACCUGACGGUACCUGAGGAAAAAGCCUCGGCUAACUCCGUGCCAGCAGCCGCGGUAAUACGGAGGAGGCAAGCGUUAUCCGGAAUUACUGGGCGUAAAGCGUUCGUAGGGGGCUCGUCAAGUCUGCUGUCAAAGGUCGGAGCUUAACUCCGGUUAGGCAGUGGAAACUGGUGCGCUAGAGGGCGACAGGGGUAGAGGGAAUUCCCAGUGUAGCGGUGAAAUGCGUAGAGAUUGGGAAGAACACCGGUGGCGAAAGCGCUCUACUGGGCCGCACCUGACCCUGAGGGACGAAAGCCAGGGGAGCG
Molecule: ribosomal RNA, 378 nt
Filed under: uncultured cyanobacterium
Lineage: Bacteria; Bacillati; Cyanobacteriota
Description: bacterial SSU rRNA
Rfam family: Bacterial small subunit ribosomal RNA
Source: RNAcentral